This is a long non-coding RNA of Ipomoea triloba (trilobed morning glory), 1179 nucleotides long. RefSeq lists it as uncharacterized. The record is from RefSeq and is a predicted model, not a curated record. The transcript is spliced from 2 exons. Lineage: Eukaryota; Viridiplantae; Streptophyta; Magnoliopsida; Solanales; Convolvulaceae.
UCAGCUCCGCCCUUUUCGUUCGUCGUCUUCUUCGCGCAGAUGUCCGAAAGCCUAACUCACCCGUCACAAAUGGAAACAAGGCCAAAUACACGUCCCUAAAACCUCAGUUUUUCACAAAUUGCAGCAAAAAGACACACGGUUCGUCAAGAAUCCAAGAUUUAAAGACCGGAAAGCGAUUUCAACUGCAUUGCGAUUUGAAGAAUUCAGAUGCGAUGCAAGGAUCAUACAGCACUUUCUCAUCAGUAUAGGCCCUAGCUAAUAUCUUCCCAGGUCAAAUCUAAGUACAGGCACGGAGAGAAGCAGAACACAGACAGAGCUGCGCCACAUAUGAUGCAAAUUUAUACUUAUAAAGAUAAGUUUUCUCAAUAUAUAUACAAUACCUGUUCUAAUAAUUGUUCUUUAUGCUAUAUCUGAGAUGUUUAAUACCAAUACAUAUAUCAUAAAUGUAUAUAUGAAUUUCAAAAAAUAGGGGGAAUAUAAAAGAUAAGUAUUACGGGGUACAAUAAUUGUUGAUAAAAUUAUCUAUCAAAUUACUUCAUUGUGAGAAUAAAUUGCCUGAGAAGCUGGACAACAAAUAUCAAUAGUCCUAUGAACAUAAGUGAUCUCCCUACAUGCAAUUAAUAGGAAAUUUCAUACUGUCAGCAAAUUUCAUACUGUCAGCAAAAGUGAUCUCCCUACUUUUUAUUGUAAUGAUAAUCACACUGAAGAGGCAUACUUUUGUACACAUACACUUCCGACUCAAAAUGGAUUAAAAUAAUGUAAACAAUGUCUUUGAGAUCAGUUAAAAAACAUAUGAAAUAUAGCUGUAUGUAAGUUUACCUUUAUUUGAAUGCUCAUAUUUUCUCUUGGAACCAAUAAUUGUUGAAUGCUCUAACUUCAUUAUUUUCUUCCAAAUUGUUGCUUAGAAUCUACAUUUGAAUGGUGAAAGUGAAUUUGAAGAAAGAUUUCCUUACUCCCUUCAAAGAAUUGGCAAUUUAUAUUAGAUUAAAUGCAUUGGUAAUGGUAGUAUAAUAAUUACUAAUACUCUUUUACUCAAAAAGCAUUCCCUAUUUUAUUGGGAAUAAGAGUGGUCUGCAUUUUUCAUUUCAAUGUAAAAUUAUUGAACUGAAUUGGUUCUGUAGUUCUGAAUAUAAUUUUUUUUAUUCAUACAACUUCUUCAUAGAAUUAAUAUAUACAAAA